Molecule: ribosomal RNA, 21 nt
Filed under: Slooffia tsugae
Lineage: Eukaryota; Fungi; Basidiomycota; Microbotryomycetes; Chrysozymaceae
Description: partial 26S rRNA
Source: RNAcentral
UUAGACCUCAGAUCAGGCAGG